Molecule: non-coding RNA, 3022 nt
Organism: Phascolarctos cinereus (koala)
Lineage: Eukaryota; Metazoa; Chordata; Mammalia; Diprotodontia; Phascolarctidae
Source: RefSeq, a predicted model, not a curated record
UGAGCAUGGUUUGGUUUGGUAAUAGGUGAUAACAGGCUGGCUCAGAGAAUGAGACAUUUAUCUACAAAGUGGCUCUCUUGGUCCCUGAAAACCUGGAUGUGUGGACAUUUGUUUUGCCUACAUUUGGGAACAAUUCAACAAAUACUUAGGUGCUUACUGUGGGCCACACCCUGUGCUAGAUCCUUGAAGAUGUAAAGAAUUAGGAAAACAGCACCUGCCCUUGAGCUCACAUUCUACGGGGAGGAUGCAACAUAUACAUAAUUGAGUAAAUACAGAGUGUGUCUGUGCGUGAUAGAGGACUGGCCAGUUAGAGCCCAGACCUUAGGAACGUGUAGCAGCGUGUGCAUGGCAAUCCCCUGCGUGGACUUGGGAAUUUUAAGAUCGUGGAAGCCCUAACAACUGGAGGUGAUCAGCACAAAAUCUUGUGGCACCUGUGAGCUGCCACUGAAGGAAGUUACAACUUCUAGGGAACUUAUGGGGCCCCAUAAAACUACGCCUGAAACAUCGAAGGUGUGUUGCCUCUCAUCUCCUGUGUUAAUCUUUCCAGACAGCCUUGAAUUUCAAGUUGUUAUUCUCAAAGGCCAUGGGAUACUCUGGUGAACUUUAAAGACAAAUCCAGUGAGGAAUAAAAGAAGAAACUAUUUAAAGUUAGCUGUGGCUAUGUACCAAACUUGGUUCCAAAUAGAGCAGUACCAGUAACAAGAUAAAGGCCAAAAUGAAUCAAGACUGGACUGGUAAGAAUGACAAAACUCUGCUUUUUUUUGGAGGGGUGGGGAUGGACGGGAACCAAGAAGGGAUGGAUGGGACAAAUGGGACAAUAAACCCAAGAAUGAGAAAGAAAUACUCAACAUUUUUUUUUGUCUACUUUUCCUAAGGAAAAUUGUUUUCAGUUUUGGAAACAUUUUAUACAAGUAGUUAACAAAAAACUGUAGCCCCCAAAAUUGAGGAGAUCAUAAGAGCACCUAUUUGCUUCCAACAAAAAAACAGUUUUGUAGUUUCGGGAAGCUCUGAUUUGGAUCAAAGAAUAUGGCUUUGAAUCCUGGCUCUGGGACCUUGAGGUUGUGAACCAGUUUCCUCAUUUGCAAACUGAGGGAGUUUGGCUAAAUAACCUAAGGUUCCUUCUAGCUCUGCAUGUUUCCCAUGAUCUUAACUUGAACUUUUAUAUCCUACAGCACUGAGAACUUGUGGGUAUGAUGGCUGAACCACUAAACCGGUGAUACAGGCAAGUACUAUAUUCAUUUUCCAAAAAUGGAAAAAGAGGGGGCAGCUAAUUGGCACAGUAGAGAGAGCACUGGCCCUGGAGUCAGGAAGACCUGAGUUCAAAAUCUGACCUCAGACACAUGAUACUUAUUAGCUACCAACUGCCCCCCCCAUAAUAUUGAAAAACUAGUUUAUGACUAUUUAGGAAAGAAGCUGAUGAUCACUAACAGCCAGAAGGAACAGGACAGGUUUACCAAAAACAUGUCAUGCUUAAAAAAUACAUUCAUUGUUCACUUAUUCUUGUCUAUCCUCUUACAGAUAUUCCAUUCAUCUAUCUCUGCUUUUGGGGUGUGAGCUGGGCAGAGUCUCAUAAAGGUCUUUCUAGAUUUCAUUGUAUUCCUCGCAUAUGUAGUAAUGAUAUUGUAAUAUCCUAUUACAUUAAUGCAUUAAGAUCUGACUAUACUCUGUUGCUGGGCAAAUCUUAACAUAAAUAGCUACUAAGCAAGCUUGGUUGCUUAUAUCAAUGUAUCAUGUUAGGCUGCUAAUAAAAACAACAAAAAUGGUCACAAACCUCAUUCAUUACUUUUCCUGACAAUUUUACUAAGACGGGCACAUUAGGGGAAUGCAUGUUAAAUGCUGUCCAAUAUCUUGCUGAUAUCCAAGCAUAGCAAAGUAUCUUAUUUUUGAUGUAUAUAGAUUUAAAACACUUGAAUGACUGACCAACAAAAUAAUAACCAGUGGAUAGAAAAUGUAUCUCAAAGACAAGCUCUGGUGAGUAUCCUGGAGAUCUGUCCAUAUCCUAGUCCAGUUCAGCAUUUUAUAAGUUAGGACUUGAAGGCACAGAUGACAUCAAAACUACAAAGAUUGUCACUUGUGGUACCUAUUCUCAAAAAAUUUGUAAAGUUCAAAUGAAAGAAUAUAAAAUAUUUUACAAAUCUUAAAGUGCUAAAUAAAUGUCAGCUUAUUAUGGUUAGGAAUAAAAGCAAAGUUCCACCCUACCCUCCCAUCUAAGAACUCAACUGUCCAAGUAAAAGAAUGGGAGAAGAAUGGCUAGGGAGAUGCUAAGUGGAUCCCAGCUUCAAAGGCCACGUGGGGUUGCAUUAAUAGAAGCCAAACUAACAGUUAACAGUCCAUUACAUUCCAAUGUGGUCUGACCAGAAUAUUCUGGAAGGCUCUUUUUAAGGGACAUUAACUAAAAAGGCUAGGAAUACACGUGGGAGUAUAACCAGAAGGAUGAGAGGAUUUGAAACCAUGUCACAGAGGAUUAGGGAUGUAAAAGCCUAGAAUUGUGAAGGGAUUAAGGGCUGGUCUGUGAACAAAUGAUUUUGUUGUUCUGCUCUCUGGGACCAAGAAAUCUACAGAAAGAAAUUAUGCAAACAAAAAGUUACACUUAGAAAAAAAAAAAGGUUUCAGCUCUAAAGGGAAACAUGCUAGCUUGGCACAAGAUGACUUACAAUUGGAGCUACUACAAAGUAGACUGGGGCUAUUUCAAAAGAUAAGCUCACUCAACAGUGAGGGUCCAACCAUCUUUUACAGCACUGGUUUAAGCUCACUUACUUGUUCCUUAGUAAAUAUGUGAACUUAGCCAGUAUCUUCAUUCAUUCGUUUCAUUCUUAACCAGUCUUGAAAAGUCUAGUUUUUAUAUAAGGUUUCUCUAAUUAAGUAGGUAGCUUAUAAGCAGGUAGUAACUACACCCUCCUCCUGUCCUCUUUCCCUGCCUUGACUUCCUAAUUUCCAACUGUUCAAUUCAUUUUAGUUUUUUCAUAGCAAACAAUACUUCUGUUCUCUCAAGAUAAAAACAAUUAAAAUCAUAGAAGCAAAA